AGAGUUUGAUCCUGGCUCAGGAUGAACGCUGGCGGCGUGCCUAAUACAUGCAAGUCGAGCGAACGGACGAGAAGCUUGCUUCUCUGAUGUUAGCGGCGGACGGGUGAGUAACACGUGGAUAACCUACCUAUAAGACUGGGAUAACUUCGGGAAACCGGAGCUAAUAACGGAUAAUAUUUUGAACCGCAUGGUUCAAAAGUGAAAGACGGUCUUGCUGUCACUUAUAGAUGGAUCCGCGCUGCAUUAGCUAGUUGGUAAGGUAACGGCUUACCAAGGCAACGAUGCAUAGCCGACCUGAGAGGGUGAUCGGCCACACUGGAACUGAGACACGGUCCAGACUCCUACGGGAGGCAGCAGUAGGGAAUCUUCCGCAAUGGGCGAAAGCCUGACGGAGCAACGCCGCGUGAGUGAUGAAGGUCUUCGGAUCGUAAAACUCUGUUAUUAGGGAAGAACAUAUGUGUAAGUAACUGUGCACAUCUUGACGGUACCUAAUCAGAAAGCCACGGCUAACUACGUGCCAGCAGCCGCGGUAAUACGUAGGUGGCAAGCGUUAUCCGGAAUUAUUGGGCGUAAAGCGCGCGUAGGCGGUUUUUUAAGUCUGAUGUGAAAGCCCACGGCUCAACCGUGGAGGGUCAUUGGAAACUGGAAAACUUGAGUGCAGAAGAGGAAAGUGGAAUUCCAUGUGUAGCGGUGAAAUGCGCAGAGAUAUGGAGGAACACCAGUGGCGAAGGCGACUUUCUGGUCUGUAACUGACGCUGAUGUGCGAAAGCGUGGGGAUCAAACAGGAUUAGAUACCCUGGUAGUCCACGCCGUAAACGAUGAGUGCUAAGUGUUAGGGGGUUUCCGCCCCUUAGUGCUGCAGCUAACGCAUUAAGCACUCCGCCUGGGGAGUACGACCGCAAGGUUGAAACUCAAAGGAAUUGACGGGGACCCGCACAAGCGGUGGAGCAUGUGGUUUAAUUCGAAGCAACGCGAAGAACCUUACCAAAUCUUGACAUCCUUUGACAACUCUAGAGAUAGAGCUUUCCCCUUCGGGGGACAAAGUGACAGGUGGUGCAUGGUUGUCGUCAGCUCGUGUCGUGAGAUGUUGGGUUAAGUCCCGCAACGAGCGCAACCCUUAAGCUUAGUUGCCAUCAUUAAGUUGGGCACUCUAAGUUGACUGCCGGUGACAAACCGGAGGAAGGUGGGGAUGACGUCAAAUCAUCAUGCCCCUUAUGAUUUGGGCUACACACGUGCUACAAUGGACAAUACAAAGGGCAGCGAAACCGCGAGGUCAAGCAAAUCCCAUAAAGUUGUUCUCAGUUCGGAUUGUAGUCUGCAACUCGACUACAUGAAGCUGGAAUCGCUAGUAAUCGUAGAUCAGCAUGCUACGGUGAAUACGUUCCCGGGUCUUGUACACACCGCCCGUCACACCACGAGAGUUUGUAACACCCGAAGCCGGUGGAGUAACCUUUUAGGAGCUAGCCGUCGAAGGUGGGACAAAUGAUUGGGGUGAAGUCGUAACAAGGUAGCCGUAUCGGAAGGUGCGGCUGGAUCACCU
Molecule: ribosomal RNA, 1540 nt
Filed under: Staphylococcus aureus
Lineage: Bacteria; Bacillati; Bacillota; Bacilli; Caryophanales; Staphylococcaceae
Description: 16S ribosomal RNA
Rfam family: Bacterial small subunit ribosomal RNA
Source: RNAcentral